Molecule: ribosomal RNA, 484 nt
Filed under: uncultured bacterium
Lineage: Bacteria
Description: partial 16S ribosomal RNA
Rfam family: Bacterial small subunit ribosomal RNA
Source: RNAcentral
AUUGAACGCUGGCGGCAGGCCUAACACAUGCAAGUCGAGCGGAUGAAGGGAGCUUGCUCCUGGAUUCAGCGGCGGACGGGUGAGUAAUGCCUAGGAAUCUGCCUGGUCGUGGGGGAUAACGUCCGGAAACGGGCGCUAAUACCGCAUACGUCCUGAGGGAGAAAGUGGGGGUUCUUCGGACCUCACGCUAUUAGAUGAGCCUAGGUCGGAUUAGCUAGUUGGUGGGGUAAAGGCCUACCAAGGCGACGAUCCGUAACUGGUCUGAGAGGAUGAUCAGUCACACUGGAACUGAGACACGGUCCAGACUCCUACGGGAGGCAGCAGUGGGGAAUAUUGGACAAUGGGCGAAAGCCUGAUCCAGCCAUGCCGCGUGUGUGAAGAAGGUCUUCGGAUUGUAAAGCACUUUAAGUUGGGAGGAAGGGCAGUAAGUUAAUACCUUGCUGUUUUGACGUUACCAACAGAAUAAGCACCGGCUAACUUCGUG